RNAcentral lists this ribosomal RNA (271 nucleotides) under uncultured bacterium. RNAcentral describes it as "partial 16S ribosomal RNA". It matches the Rfam family "Bacterial small subunit ribosomal RNA", at positions 524 to 794 of the family's 1533-position model. The record is from RNAcentral.
UACGAAGGGUGCAAGCGUUAUUCGGAUUCACUGGGCGUAAAGGGUGCGCAGGCGGCCGUGUGUGUAAGGUGUGAAAUCCCGGGGCUUAACCCCGGAACUGCGCCUUAAACUACAUGGCUAGAGUAUUGGAGAGGGUAGUGGAAUUCACGGUGUAGCAGUGAAAUGCGUAGAUAUCGUGAGGAACACCAGAGGCGAAGGCGACUACCUGGACAAUUACUGACGCUCAUGCACGAAAGCGUGGGGAGCAAACAGGAUUAGAAACCCCUGUAGU